UAGAGGGGAAAAUAAACUGCUGAAGCCUAUUAUUCUACUGAAAACUGCAACAAAUUGGCAAACCUAUAGGUCAGCAAACUAGAGCAAAUUUGAACUAAUGUGAAGACAUUGUCAGCAACUAUGUAAAAAAAUAUCACAUUUUUCAUGUUGAAAAAACAAUUAAAGCUUUAUUACCUCUGGAGACAAAGUUUGACAAAACAUACUGAGUAGCACUCAUGUUCAACUGAAGGGGAAGCUAAUAAAAUAUAAGCUAAUGUCACAGGUACAGUGUGUAUGAUUUAGCUUUUUUAAAUAGUUUAAGCUAGCAACCAACUGAUAACAACUCAGCUCAGUGCAACCUGCCGGAGCUGUGAAUUUACAAAUGUAAGUGUCUUCUUAAGGUAAGUAUUUAUCUGUACUGAGCUACUGUAGAAACAUGGCAUUGCUUCAUGGAAGGGCUGGUUAGCUUAGAUUACCACAACAACAAGGAGGAAGCAGUUAGCCUGGCACUGCUCAGAGUGGGCAUAAGUGCAUCCAGCCAUCCCUCCAUCCCUCUCUUCUUCCAUCCAUCUGAGCAUCACUAAAGCCCAUCUUAAUCUCCCUCUUCCACAAUCACGGAACAAAGAGCAGAGUGCUGGCAGAUCCUUGUUUUUCUAACUAAUGUCGAUUACAUAUUUGAUAAACAUGCAUUUGCAUUAGCAUUAGCCGAGGUCAGGAUUAGCAGCGUUCAUCCUCAAACUGUUCUGUCUAUGCUUCGCCUGUUUGUUGAUCUUUUUUUUUUCUGGUUGUGCCUUUUUCCCCCCCUCCUGUUGUUUGUGGCCAUCUCAAAUCCUAAAGGACACGACUCCACACGAGCGACGGCACAAAUAUUUGAAAGGGUGAUUAAAAAUCGUUUGGGAAAACAGA
Long non-coding RNA from Notolabrus celidotus (New Zealand spotty), 885 nucleotides. RefSeq lists it as uncharacterized. NCBI's taxonomy places the organism in Eukaryota, Metazoa, Chordata, Actinopteri, Labriformes, Labridae. The transcript has 2 exons. The record is from RefSeq and is a predicted model, not a curated record.